UACGUAGGUGGCGAGCGUUGUCCGGAUUUACUGGGCGUAAAGGGAGCGUAGGCGGACUUUUAAGUGAGAUGUGAAAUACCCGGGCUCAACUUGGGUGCUGCAUUUCAAACUGGAAGUCUAGAGUGCAGGAGAGGAGAAUGGAAUUCCUAGUGUAGCGGUGAAAUGCGUAGAGAUUAGGAAGAACACCAGUGGCGAAGGCGAUUCUCUGGACUGUAACUGACGCUGAGGCUCGAAAGCGUGGAGAGCAAACAGGAUUAGAUA
This 261-nucleotide ribosomal RNA is filed under the name uncultured prokaryote. Its description in RNAcentral is "partial 16S ribosomal RNA". It matches the Rfam family "Bacterial small subunit ribosomal RNA", at positions 524 to 784 of the family's 1533-position model. The record is from RNAcentral.